Molecule: ribosomal RNA, 418 nt
Filed under: uncultured bacterium
Lineage: Bacteria
Description: bacterial SSU rRNA
Rfam family: Bacterial small subunit ribosomal RNA
Source: RNAcentral
AGCGAACGCUGGCGGAAUGCUUAACACAUGCAAGUCGCACGGGGGCUUCGGCCUUAGUGGCGGACGGGUGAGUAACGCGUAGGAACGUGUCUUGGGGGUGGGGGAUAACGCUGGGAAACUGGCGCUAAUACCGCAUGUCUGCUGUGGCAGAAAGCCUUCGGGUGCCUUGAGAGCGGCCUGCGUCCGAUUAGCUAGUUGGUGGGGUAAAGGCUUACCAAGGCGACGAUCGGUAGCNGGUCUGAGAGGACGAUCAGCCACACUGGGACUGAGACACGGCCCAGACUCCUACGGGAGGCAGCAGUGGGGAAUAUUGGACAAUGGGCGCAAGCCUGAUCCAGCAAUUCCGCGUGGGUGAAGAAGGUCUUCGGAUUGUAAAGCCCUUUCGACGGGGACGAUGAUGACGGUACCCGUAGAAGAA